GCGAAAGUGGCGGAAUUGGCAGACGCGCUGGACUUAGGAUCCAGUAGGUAACCCUGUGGGGGUUCAACUCCCCCCUUUCGCA
This 82-nucleotide transfer RNA is filed under the name Candidatus Stahliibacteriota bacterium CG23_combo_of_CG06-09_8_20_14_all_34_7. Its description in RNAcentral is "bacterium (Candidatus Stahlbacteria) CG23_combo_of_CG06-09_8_20_14_all_34_7 tRNA-Leu". It matches the Rfam family "tRNA". Rfam says of the family: Transfer RNA (tRNA) molecules are approximately 80 nucleotides in length. Their secondary structure includes four short double-helical elements and three loops (D, anti-codon, and T loops). The record is from RNAcentral. Lineage: Bacteria; Candidatus Stahliibacteriota.